Molecule: ribosomal RNA, 429 nt
Filed under: uncultured archaeon
Lineage: Archaea
Description: bacterial SSU rRNA
Rfam family: Archaeal small subunit ribosomal RNA
Source: RNAcentral
UACCUGCAGCUCGAGUGGUGAUCGUUAUUAUUGGGCCUAAAACGUCCGUAGCCGGUCUUAUAAAUGCCUGGGUAAAUCGUAUGGCUUAACCAUACGAAUUCCGGGUAGACUGUUUGACUUGAGACCGGGAGAAGCUAGAGGUACUCCUUGGGUAGAGGUGAAAUUCUGUAAUCCUAGGGGGACCACCAGUGGCGAAGGCGUCUAGCUAGAACGGGUCUGACGGUGAGGGACGAAGCCCUGGGGCGCAAACGGGAUUAGAUACCCCGGUAGUCCAGGGUGUAAACGCUGCUUGCUUGAUGUUAGUCUGGCUCCGAGCCAGAUUAGUGUCGGAGAGAAGUUGUUAAGCAAGCUGCCUGGGAAGUACGGCCGCAAGACUGAAACUUAAAGGAAUUGGCGGGGGAGCACAGCAACGGGUGGAGCGUGCGGUUU